CCCCCCAUUAUCAGUUACCCCACCCUUAUCAGUCCCCUUAUCACCUUAACCCUGUUGUUAUCAGUCCCCUUAUCACCAUAACCCCUUAUCAUUUCCCUUAUCACCUUAACCCCUUAUCAGUUCCCUUUAACCCCUUAUCACUUCCCUUAUCACCAUAACCCCUUAUCAUCCCUUAUCUCCUUAACCCCGUUGUUAUCAGUUACGGUUACCGUGGCCGUGACAGUCGCUCCAACCUCCAUCUCUUGGGGUCGGGGGAGUUGGUUUAUUUCAUCGCCUGCGUCGUGGUGCUGCUCAGUGUCCCCUUAAAGAGACAGCGCCAC
RNAcentral lists this long non-coding RNA (320 nucleotides) under Coturnix japonica (Japanese quail). RNAcentral's name for it is "lncRNA (ENSCJPG00005002507.1)". The record is from RNAcentral. Lineage: Eukaryota; Metazoa; Chordata; Aves; Galliformes; Phasianidae.